Molecule: ribosomal RNA, 500 nt
Filed under: uncultured bacterium
Lineage: Bacteria
Description: bacterial SSU rRNA
Rfam family: Bacterial small subunit ribosomal RNA
Source: RNAcentral
AUUGAACGCUGGCGGCAUGCCUUACACAUGCAAGUCGAACGGAAACAGGCCUUCGGGCGCUGUCGAGUGGCGAACGGGUGAGUAAAGUAUCGGAACGUACCCUUCAGUGGGGGAUAACUAUCCGAAAGGAUAGCUAAUACCGCAUAUUCUCUGAGGAGGAAAGCGGGGGACCGCAAGGCCUCGCGCUGAUGGAGCGGCCGAUAUCAGAUUAGCUAGUUGGCGGGGUAAAAGCCCACCAAGGCGACGAUCUGUAGCGGGUCUGAGAGGAUGAUCCGCCACACUGGGACUGAGACACGGCCCAGACUCCUACGGGAGGCAGCAGUGGGGAAUUUUGGACAAUGGGGGCAACCCUGAUCCAGCCAUGCCGCGUGAGUGAAGAAGGCCUUCGGGUUGUAAAGCUCUUUCGGCCGGGAAGAAAACGCCUCUCCUAAUACGGGGGGUGGAUGACGGUACCGGACUAAGAAGCACCGGCUAACUACGUGCCAGCAGCCGCGGUAAUA